Molecule: non-coding RNA, 506 nt
Organism: Camelina sativa (false flax)
Lineage: Eukaryota; Viridiplantae; Streptophyta; Magnoliopsida; Brassicales; Brassicaceae
Source: RefSeq, a predicted model, not a curated record
CUUGGGAAGAAUCAGGGCCGAACACCAAAAGUUUGUGAUACCCGCUAUAACUGUGUUAAGCAAUUGGAGGCGACCAGCAAAGGAGAGGGUUUUUGUUGACCACCCGUUGAAGUUGAGAGAGACCUGAAGUAUAGAAGCUCGUUUUGGGGAGGCUAAUGGCGAGACCGGAUGCAUCUUCAAAUUCUUUAAGAAUCUGGAGAACAUUCUGAACUGAGAGCGCCGUUCCUUCAACAAAUAUCAGCAAGUCAUCAGCAAAGCAAAGAUAAACAGUUCAUAGCCAGUACAAAGAGGUACGGAGAUAAAGGAUCCCCUUGCCUCAACCCUCUGCGACCUUUAAAGUAUCCAUGGACUGAGCCAUUAAAUCCCACAGAGAAGGAAGGAGUACAGACACAUGCCUUGAGCCAUCUUAGGUCAGGAAGAAUAGGCUUCAAACGGGAUACAAGUAUCUUGGAUAUAACUUUAUACAGCGUGUUAAGACAGGAAAUGGGCCUGAAAUCUGAAACAAG